RNAcentral lists this ribosomal RNA (433 nucleotides) under uncultured Anaerovorax sp. RNAcentral describes it as "partial 16S ribosomal RNA". It matches the Rfam family "Bacterial small subunit ribosomal RNA", at positions 341 to 792 of the family's 1533-position model. The record is from RNAcentral. Lineage: Bacteria; Bacillati; Bacillota; Clostridia; Peptostreptococcales; Anaerovoracaceae.
ACGGAAGGCAGCAGUGGGGAGUAUUGCACAAUGGGGGAAACCCUGAUGCAGCAACGCCGCGUGAAGGAUGAAGGCCCUUGGGUCGUAAAAUUCUGUUCUAAGGGAAGAUAAUGACGGUACCUUAGGAGCAAGUCCCGGCUAACUACGUGCAAGCAGCCGCGGUUAUACGUAGGGAGCAGGCGUUAUCCGGAAUUAUUGGGCGUAAAGAGUGCGUAGGUGGUUUCCUAAGCAUGGGGUUUAAGGCAAUGGCUUAACCAUUGUUCGCCCCAUGAACUGGGUUACUUGAGUGCUGGAGGGGAAAGCGGAAUUCCUAGUGUAGCGGUGAAAUGCGUAGAUAUUAGGAGGAACACCAGUGGCGAAGGCGGCUUUCUGGACAGUAACUGACGCUGAGGCACGAAAGUGUGGGGAGCAAACAGGAUUAGAUACCCUGGUA